This 66-nucleotide transfer RNA is filed under the name Scyra compressipes. Its description in RNAcentral is "tRNA-Ser". The record is from RNAcentral. Lineage: Eukaryota; Metazoa; Arthropoda; Malacostraca; Decapoda; Pisidae.
AACUAUUUAGUUUAUAAAAAUAAAUGUUUUGAAAACAUUAGUUAAGAAAAUUAUUCUUAAUAGUUA